Molecule: transfer RNA, 67 nt
Filed under: Saturnia haraldi
Lineage: Eukaryota; Metazoa; Arthropoda; Insecta; Lepidoptera; Saturniidae
Description: Neoris haraldi tRNA-Leu
Source: RNAcentral
UCUAAUAUGACAGAUUAUACGUAAUGGAUUUAAACCCCAUAUAUAAAGGAUACUCCUUUUUUUAGAA